This 376-nucleotide unclassified non-coding RNA is filed under the name soil metagenome. Its description in RNAcentral is "partial contains 5.8S ribosomal RNA, internal transcribed spacer 2, and large subunit ribosomal RNA". The stretch from base 1 to 120 matches the Rfam family "5.8S ribosomal RNA", at positions 35 to 154 of the family's 154-position model. The record is from RNAcentral.
GAUGAAGAACGUAGCGAAAUGCGAUAAGUAAUGUGAAUUGCAGAAUUCAGUGAAUCAUCGAAUCUUUGAACGCAUCUUGCGCUCCUUGGUAUUCUGAGGAGCAUGCCUGUUUGAGUGUCAUUAAAUUCUCAACUACACUGACAUUGAAUUGGUGUGGCUUGGAUUUGGGGGGAAAAUUGUUGUGGGCUUUUUGUAUAGUCUGCUCCCCUGAAAUUGAUUAGCGGUACCUUUGUGGAACUGUCUACGGGUGUGAUAAUUAUCUACAUCUUAGACAUCUGCUGGAAUGCUGCUUUCUAAACCUUACUUGUAUUGACAAUCUUGACCUCAAAUCAGGUAGGACUACCCGCUGAACUUAAGCAUAUCAAUAAGCGGAGGA